AAGAGAGACGGGGGCUUCGGCCCCCAAACCUCCAACCCAUUGUGAACGAUACUUUUAGUUGCUUUGGCGGGGCGAGGUCGCAAGGCCCCGUUGGCCCUUAGCUGGGCUGACGUGCCCCCGCCGAAGGAUCUUAAAAUUCUUGCUUUUAAAACCGUGAAGUCUGAACAUUUUGAAAAAUCAAAUAGCGAUA
Molecule: unclassified non-coding RNA, 190 nt
Filed under: uncultured fungus
Lineage: Eukaryota; Fungi
Description: sequence contains ITS1, 5.8S rRNA gene
Source: RNAcentral